GUCAGCCUGUUGAGCGUGCCAACCCU
This 26-nucleotide non-coding RNA is filed under the name Mus musculus (house mouse). The record is from RNAcentral. Lineage: Eukaryota; Metazoa; Chordata; Mammalia; Rodentia; Muridae.